AUUCAGCUGGCGAGUUCUAAAUAGGACGAAACGCGAGUCCUGGAU
This is a non-coding RNA of Schistosoma curassoni, 45 nucleotides long. Lineage: Eukaryota; Metazoa; Platyhelminthes; Trematoda; Strigeidida; Schistosomatidae. The record is from Rfam.